CCUACGGGUGGCAGCAGUGAGGAAUAUUGGGCAAUGGGCGCGAGCCUGACCCAGCCAAGUAGCGUGAAGGAUGACUGCCCUACGGGUUUUAAACUUCUUUUAUAAAGGAGUAAAGUGAGGCACGUGUGCCUUUUUGUAUGUACUUUAUGAAUAAGGAUCGGCUAACUCCGUGCCAGCAGCCGCGGUAAUACGGAGGAUCCGAGCGUUAUCCGGAUUUAUUGGGUUUAAAGGGAGCGUAGAAGGGUUGUAAAGUCAGUUGGGAAAGUUUGCGGCUCAACCGUAAAAUUGCAAAUGAUACUGGCAGUCUUGAGUACAGUAGAGGUAGGCGGAAUUCGUGGUGUAGCGGUGAAAUGCGUAGAUAUCACGAAGAACCCCGAUUGCGAAGGCAGCUUACUAAACUGUGACUGACAUUGAUGCUCGAAAGUGUGGGUAUCAAACAGGAUUAGAUACCCUAGUAGUC
RNAcentral lists this ribosomal RNA (460 nucleotides) under uncultured bacterium. RNAcentral's name for it is "partial 16S ribosomal RNA". It matches the Rfam family "Bacterial small subunit ribosomal RNA", at positions 338 to 795 of the family's 1533-position model. The record is from RNAcentral.